This 440-nucleotide ribosomal RNA is filed under the name uncultured bacterium. RNAcentral's name for it is "partial 16S ribosomal RNA". It matches the Rfam family "Bacterial small subunit ribosomal RNA", at positions 338 to 795 of the family's 1533-position model. The record is from RNAcentral.
CCUACGGGUGGCAGCAGUGGGGAAUAUUGCACAAUGGGGGAAACCCUGAUGCAGCAACGCCGCGUGAGUGAAGAAGUAUUUCGGUAUGUAAAGCUCUAUCAGCAGGGAAGAAGAUGACGGUAUCUGAGUAGGAAGACCCGGCUAACUACGUGCCAGCAGCCGCGGUAAUACGUAGGGGGCAAGCGUUAUCCGGAUUUACUGUGUGUAUAGGGAGCGUAGACGGUGAGACAAGGCUGAAGUGAAAGCCCGGGGCUCAACCCCGGAACUGCAUUGGAAACUGGCUGACUGGAGUGCUGGAGAGGCAAUCGGAAUUCCUUGUGUAGCGGUGAAAUGCGUAGAUAUUAGGAAGAACACCAGUGGCGAAGGCGGAUUGCUGGACAAUAACUGACGUUGAGGCGCGAAAGCGUGGGGAGCAAACAGGAUUAGAUACCCCUGUAGUC